ACGCUAGCUACAGGCUUAACACAUGCAAGUCGAGGGGCAGCAUGGUCUUAGCUUGCUAAGGCCGAUGGCGACCGGCGCACGGGUGAGUAACACGUAUCCAACCUGCCGUCUACUCUUGGACAGCCUUCUGAAAGGAAGAUUAAUACAAGAUGGCAUCAUGAGUCCGCAUGUUCACAUGAUUAAAGGUAUUCCGGUAGACGAUGGGGAUGCGUUCCAUUAGAUAGUAGGCGGGGUAACGGCCCACCUAGUCUUCGAUGGAUAGGGGUUCUGAGAGGAAGGUCCCCCACAUUGGAACUGAGACACGGUCCAAACUCCUACGGGAGGCAGCAGUGAGGAAUAUUGGUCAAUGGGCGAGAGCCUGAACCAGCCAAGUAGCGUGAAGGAUGACUGCCCUAUGGGUUGUAAACUUCUUUUAUAAAGGAAUAAAGUCGGGUAUGGAUACCCGUUUGCAUGUACUUUAUGAAUAAGGAUCGGCUAACUCCGUGCCAGCAGCCGCGGUAAUACGGAGGAUCCGAGCGUUAUCCGGAUUUAUUGGGUUUAAAGGGAGCGUAGAUGGAUGUUUAAGUCAGUUGUGAAAGUUUGCGGCUCAACCGUAAAAUUGCAGUUGAUACUGGAUAUCUUGAGUGCAGUUGAGGCAGGCGGAAUUCGUGGUGUAGCGGUGAAAUGCUUAGAUAUCACGAAGAACUCCGAUUGCGAAGGCAGCCUGCUAAGCUGCAACUGACAUUGAGGCUCGAAAGUGUGGGUAUCAAACAGGAUUAGAUACCCUGGUAGUCCACACGGUAAACGAUGAAUACUCGCUGUUUGCGAUAUACAGCAAGCGGCCAAGCGAAAGCGUUAAGUAUUCCACCUGGGGAGUACGCCGGCAACGGUGAAACUCAAAGGAAUUGACGGGGGCCCGCACAAGCGGAGGAACAUGUGGUUUAAUUCGAUGAUACGCGAGGAACCUUACCCGGGCUUAAAUUGCAGAUGAAUUACGGUGAAAGCCGUAAGCCGCAAGGCAUCUGUGAAGGUGCUGCAUGGUUGUCGUCAGCUCGUGCCGUGAGGUGUCGGCUUAAGUGCCAUAACGAGCGCAACCCUUGUUGUCAGUUACUAACAGGUCAUGCUGAGGACUCUGACAAGACUGCCAUCGUAAGAUGUGAGGAAGGUGGGGAUGACGUCAAAUCAGCACGGCCCUUACGUCCGGGGCUACACACGUGUUACAAUGGGGGGUACAGAGGGCCGCUACCACGCGAGUGGAUGCCAAUCCCAAAAACCUCUCUCAGUUCGGACUGGAGUCUGCAACCCGACUCCACGAAGCUGGAUUCGCUAGUAAUCGCGCAUCAGCCACGGCGCGGUGAAUACGUUCCCGGGCCUUGUACACACCGCCCGUCAAGCCAUGGGAGCCGGGGGUACCUGAAGUGCGUAACCGCGAGGAGCGCCCUAGGGUAAAACUGGUGACUGGGGCUAA
This 1447-nucleotide ribosomal RNA is filed under the name uncultured organism. Its description in RNAcentral is "SSU rRNA". It matches the Rfam family "Bacterial small subunit ribosomal RNA". The record is from RNAcentral.